Molecule: ribosomal RNA, 589 nt
Filed under: uncultured bacterium
Lineage: Bacteria
Description: bacterial SSU rRNA
Rfam family: Bacterial small subunit ribosomal RNA
Source: RNAcentral
CCUACGGGAGGCAGCAGUGGGGAAUUUUGGACAAUGGGCGAAAGCCUGAUCCAGCAAUGCCGCGUGAGUGAAGAAGGCCUUCGGGUUGUAAAGCUCUUUUGUCAGGGAAGAAACGGUGAGGGCUAAUAUCCCUUGCUAAUGACGGUACCUGAAGAAUAAGCACCGGCUAACUACGUGCCAGCAGCCGCGGUAAUACGUAGGGUGCAAGCGUUAAUCGGAAUUACUGGGCGUAAAGCGUGCGCAGGCGGUUUUGUAAGUCUGUCGUGAAAUCCCCGGGCUCAACCUGGGAAUUGCGAUGGAGACUGCAAGGCUAGAAUCUGGCAGAGGGGGGGUAGAAUUCCACGUGUAGCAGUGAAAUGCGUAGAGAUGUGGAGGAACACCGAUGGCGAAGGCAGCCCCCUGGGUCAAGAUUGACGCUCAUGCACGAAAGCGUGGGGAGCAAACAGGAUUAGAUACCCUGGUAGUCCACGCCCUAAACGACUGUCUACUAGUUGUCGGGUUUUAAUUAACUUGGUAACGCAGCUAACGCGUGAAGUAGACCGCCUGGGGAGUACGGGUCGCAAGAUUAAAACCUCAAAGGAAUUGACGG